This 253-nucleotide ribosomal RNA is filed under the name uncultured bacterium. RNAcentral describes it as "partial 16S ribosomal RNA". It matches the Rfam family "Bacterial small subunit ribosomal RNA", at positions 524 to 776 of the family's 1533-position model. The record is from RNAcentral.
UACGUAGGUGGCAAGCGUUGUCCGGAAUCACUGGGCUUAAAGCGUGUGUAGGCGGAUGCCUAAGUACCUUGUGAAAUCCCACGGCUCACCCGUGGAACUGCUUGGUAUACUGGGUGUCUUGAGCCACUUAGGGGCUACCGGAACAAAUGGUGGAGCGGUGAAAUGCGUAGAUAUCAUUUGGAACGCCAAUGGUGAAAACAGGUAGCUGGGAGUGUGCUGACGCUGAGACACGAAAGCCAGGGGAGCAAACGGG